CAGCAGCCACGGUAAUACGAAGGGUGCAAGCGUUACUCGGAAUUACUGGGCGUAAAGCGUGCGUAGGUGGUGGUUUAAGUCCGUUGUGAAAGCCCUGGGCUCAACCUGGGAAUUGCAGUGGAUACUGGGUCACUAGAGUGUGGUAGAGGAUAGUGGAAUUUCCGGUGUAGCAGUGAAAUGCGUUGAGAUCGGAAAGAACACCAACGGCGAAAGCACUCUGCUGGGCCGACACUGACACUGAGAGACGAAAGCUAGGGGAGCAAAUGGGAUUAGAGACCCGUGUAGUCCCUGUCUCUUAUAC
This 301-nucleotide ribosomal RNA is filed under the name uncultured bacterium. RNAcentral describes it as "partial 16S ribosomal RNA". It matches the Rfam family "Bacterial small subunit ribosomal RNA", at positions 509 to 807 of the family's 1533-position model. The record is from RNAcentral.